This 104-nucleotide ribosomal RNA is filed under the name Danio rerio (zebrafish). The record is from RNAcentral. Lineage: Eukaryota; Metazoa; Chordata; Actinopteri; Cypriniformes; Danionidae.
ACCGGUAGCUAGCUCUCUGCAACUCUGCACUGAAGCUAAGCAGGGCUGCGCCCGGUCAGUACCUGGAUGGGAGACCACAUAGGAAAGCUAGGUUGCUGCCAGAA